RNAcentral lists this transfer RNA (81 nucleotides) under Methylobacterium sp. NMS14P. RNAcentral's name for it is "tRNA-Glu". The stretch from base 13 to 78 matches the Rfam family "tRNA". From Rfam's summary of the family: Transfer RNA (tRNA) molecules are approximately 80 nucleotides in length. Their secondary structure includes four short double-helical elements and three loops (D, anti-codon, and T loops). The record is from RNAcentral. Lineage: Bacteria; Pseudomonadati; Pseudomonadota; Alphaproteobacteria; Hyphomicrobiales; Methylobacteriaceae.
GCGUAUCGUGAGGUGCCAUCAUGUGCCAGAUGUCGCCCUUUCACGGCGAAAACACGGGUUCGAUUCCCGUAGGGCGCGCCA